RNAcentral lists this transfer-messenger RNA (365 nucleotides) under Myxococcales bacterium. It matches the Rfam family "transfer-messenger RNA". From Rfam's summary of the family: Bacterial tmRNA, also known as 10Sa RNA or SsrA, is named for its dual tRNA and mRNA-like properties. Its role is to liberate the mRNA from a stalled ribosome. To accomplish this part of the tmRNA is used as a reading frame that ends in a translation stop signal. Lineage: Bacteria; Pseudomonadati; Myxococcota; Myxococcia; Myxococcales. RNAcentral also lists the same sequence under 2 other names. The record is from RNAcentral.
GGGGACGAACCGGUUUCGACGAGGAUGAUGAAGCGUCUCUUGCGUGUCGCGGAGCCUUCGGCCGCGUUAAAAAAAGGUAAACUUUUAAGUGCCAACGAUAACGUUGAGUACGCCCUCGCUGCUUAAUCUAGGUUAAGCUUUGAGGCCGGAGCCCGCCCUGUGUCUGCCGUGGGUGGUGCUCCAUCAUAUAGGUGGACUGGCUGGCGCGUGGGGCCUGAGCGCGCGUCAGUAAGAUUUAGCCAGGACGUCGCGGUUACACCUUGUCCCAUGGGGGGUGCCGAUGCCGUACAAAUCAUAGGACUACACACGUAGACGGUCGCGUGGAACAUUUUCGGACCCGGGUUCGACUCCCGGCGUCUCCACCA